GGAUUCCCCUUAUAACGGCGAGUGAAGAGGGAAGAGCCCAGCACCGAAGCCUGCGCACUUUGCUGUUAGGCAAUGUGGUGUUUGGGUCGGCUCGUGGGAUCACCACUCCACUCGAAGUCCAGCAUUGAGUAUGGUUUCUGGAUUUGGCCCAGAGAGGGUCAAAGGCCCGUACGGUGGAGUAUCAGACAUGUGAGGUGGUUCACCAGGUCGACCUUAGAGUCGGGUUGUUUGGGAAUGCAGCCCAAAGCGGGUGGUAAACUCCAUCCAAGGCUAAAUACUAGCACGAGUCCGAUAGCGAACAAGUACCGUGAGGGAAAGUUGAAAAGUACUCUGAAGAGAGAGUAAACAGUACGUGAAACCGCAUGCAGGUAAACGGGUGGCGUCAAGCUGCAAACCCAGAGGAUUCAGUCGGCUAGGUUGUUGUGUAUGCGCCUGGCGCAUCUAUCAGUCGGAGUAUGAUUGGAUUGUCCACUAGUAAACAGUGGGCCUGGCCGCAAGGCUAGGAUAUGUGUACCGGGUGGGUGCCGGAGCAUGCAAUCUGUCUGUGGACUGUCUAGCCGGUGCACUUUCUCUGUGGUUGACACCACGACCGGUGGUAUUGCCAGUCUACUGUGUCCAAGUCGUGCUUGGUGGGUCCUCGUGGCUUACUGGGUGCGAUCACAGGCAAAUUCAGUGAACGGCGUAGAGGUGUUUCGGCACUUUUGCGUGUUAUCGGCCACUGGUUGUCAACGGGCCUGCCCGAUGCUUGUUGUAACCGGCAUUGGGUGGCUCGGUGGGGCAUGGUGGUAAGAAUAACUGUGCAAGGCACCGGAGUUCUCGGCCUCAAAUGCGCCCUGCACCCACGUUGCAAGUGGUGUUAUCGGCGAUGUCGUCGCUGCCUGCUCGGUGUUGAGUGUGAUUGGCGUGUUGCCUGCGCAAAGUAGGCCCGCCAGUGGCUCGGCUCGAGAUGGGUAGUUGGCGGGGUUGUCGGUGUGGGGCGUUGUGGGCCAAAUAGUCUGUGGUGUUGU
Molecule: ribosomal RNA, 1007 nt
Filed under: Proteocephalus hemioliopteri
Lineage: Eukaryota; Metazoa; Platyhelminthes; Cestoda; Proteocephalidea; Proteocephalidae
Description: eukaryotic LSU rRNA
Rfam family: Eukaryotic large subunit ribosomal RNA (bases 1-759)
Source: RNAcentral